Long non-coding RNA from Strigops habroptila (Kakapo), 569 nucleotides. RefSeq lists it as uncharacterized. Lineage: Eukaryota; Metazoa; Chordata; Aves; Psittaciformes; Psittacidae. The transcript is spliced from 4 exons. The record is from RefSeq and is a predicted model, not a curated record.
UUCAACCCAUUGCUAAGCUUAACUAUUUCAGUUUCUCAGCAUUCAGUGCUUUGAACGCAUGUGCUACCAUCUGAAGUAAAAUAGGUUGUUUAGAGGCUUUUGCUAGAAGACCCACUGACUAACGCUUAUAACUUAUGUCAAAGGAUUAAUCACGCCUCAGUUCAAGCCAGCCUUUCCUAAUGGCGAACUGCUUUCUGUGGGGUUGAUACUCCCUCUUCUGAAAACAAAGUCAGACGUGUGGGGGGCUACCAUAGGAUGGACCAAAGCCCAGAGGGAACUUGGGGCAUCAUGGGCCACUGUCUGAUGUGCUGUGGCAGCUCUGUGUUCCCAGGGACUGGUUUCUGGAGAAACAAAACAAGGUGUAAGUUAAUAACACCCUUUAUAGGUCAGCUGCCAACCUCUUUUUCCCAGACAUGGAGAAAGCGAGGUCAGCUGUUUCGUAUAUAAAGAAGUAUCUUAUGUGAAGGCAAGUUUGGUCUCGCUGAUUGAUUAAAUUGGAUUUUUUAAGACCCAGGUUGAUCUGAGAAAUCCACAAAUAAUGUACCAAAAUAUAGUGGAUUACAGUGAAC